UAAAAUUUCAGUGCAGCUGCUUCUCACAAAGUUAAAGGCUAUUUUAACCAUAUAUCUUUUCAGAAAUACUCUCAUAACUCAGGAAGGACCCUUGCUUCUCCUUCAGGGCCACGAAAGGCUUAGCACAUCUGGUGUUAUUAUACCUCCCUGCAGGGUCCGAGGCGCUGUGUUAUGCACAGUAUGCCAGAAUGGAAGUGAAGUGCUUUUGCUGCAUCCCAGGAAUUUCUCCUUUCCAUCAUAGGUGGGGGACAAGUGUUUCUCAUAGUGUUAAAGAGGCAUACGUACAGAAAAAAUCACAAAAAAGAAUAGUGUUAACUAGGAAUAGCUGAUCUUCAACGAUUUGUUCAAAAGGCUUUCCCCAUUAACUUGCCUGUCUUUCUCUCAGGCCUAUUUGCUUAGGUUGUAUCUUUUUUAAUAAUAAGAAAUCUAAAUAAAUGAACAGCAAGCAACCAAAGACCCAGCAUUACAUUUGCGUUUCACCAGGGACUGCUCAGAACGAAGAUAAUCAAAGCAGCUCCAGGCUUCUCAGAGACAUCUUAAGGAGUACAGUGGAAAGAAAAUGGAAAAACAAAUGCCUCCAAACCUGAUGCAACAAUAAAAACAUGGAAAUAAAAAGCUUCUUGAAUGUGUUCCUGAUAUAACAAGUGUUUGUUUGAAAAAACACUGAAAAUACGUUUGGACAGAAGACAGGUAGGUGUUCUUUGUUGCAUUGCACUUGCCUUAGAAUUUCCUUCCAAUUCUAAGCUACUGAAGAAUCGUAUUGAAAGGAACUGGUCAAGAAAAUAACUAAAAAUACAGUACUUGAAGAGUUAAGAUUUAGAUUAAGUUUUAAAAUUAUAAUGAGGUAGAUUUUAAAUUAGUGACAGAAAAGCAAUUUACUUUAAAAUAAAAUGCCUUCCUGUCAGUCUGUUUUUGCUCUGCUCUUUCACUUUCUUUCUGACUUUUCAGAAAGGAAAAGAGGACAAAAUAGGAAAAUGGAAGGUAAAUAACAGUAUAUCUUCUUUGAGAAAGGUAUGUGUGGGAAGCUGUAUUCUGUCUUCAAAGAUCAGCUGAG
Molecule: long non-coding RNA, 1054 nt
Filed under: Meleagris gallopavo (turkey)
Lineage: Eukaryota; Metazoa; Chordata; Aves; Galliformes; Phasianidae
Description: lncRNA (ENSMGAG00000019346.1)
Source: RNAcentral